Long non-coding RNA from Corticium candelabrum, 1035 nucleotides. RefSeq lists it as uncharacterized. Lineage: Eukaryota; Metazoa; Porifera; Homoscleromorpha; Homosclerophorida; Plakinidae. The record is from RefSeq and is a predicted model, not a curated record. The transcript has 3 exons.
GCUCUAUAGAGAAGACGUUUACUGUGAUUGAACAAUGGACCAGACUACUUAGAUCAAGCAGACGCUAGUGACCGAGAUUAUUUGUUGGAUAGCCAAUAUCGACGGGCGUGAUUGUAUUUCUGCUGUGUUGAUCUCGAUAACAUUACAGUUGACGCUUUGUUGCUGGAUGUCCGGGAACUUUGUCAAAUCUUGAUCAUCGUCGUUACUGAUCUUGUUGCUAGGAGUCUUGAAUGCUAAGCGUCUUUCUAGAGAUUUCCGCGAACCUCAAGAGAUGACUUCUUUAACAGUCUGAAGAGAGUACAAGCUGAGUUGGUUGGCAUACGUAGCUCUGUUGGAAUCCCUUUAUUAAGGUGAAAAAAAUUUCUAAUCAAUUCUAAACAUAUGUAUGAAACUACUAUUAUAAAACAAUUUCUAAUUUUUGUGUUUAUUUUUAUUGUUUAUUAUUGUGAGACAUUGAUUUUAAAUAUAUUUGAUUAACUGAACUCCUUUCGCACGCUUUUGACUACGCGAGAGAGUUCAUCGCUGCUUUUGCGUUUCCCGGACCAGUGGCUUACCCAGGCAUGUUUGCAGGUUGCCCGGAAACCUCCACAAGGUAAGCGUCACUUUAGUGUUAACGCAAGUGACUAUUAGUGCGAGUGCCGAAUGAUUCUUUUCCAGAACUGUAAUUUAGGUUACAUCUCUGGCCCUAAUCCUCAAGUCUAACCGUAGGGCUAAUGUUGUGAGGCUUAGGGAUAGAGUUGUGAGGGUUAGGGUUUGAAUUGUAAAGUUAGAAUUAGAGUCCUGUGAUGGUUAGGGCUAAAGUUGUGAAGGUUAGGGCUACAGUUGUGAGUUUUAGGACUACAGUUGUGAGGGUAAGGCUAAAGUGGUGAGGGGUAGGGUUAUAGUUGUGAGGGUUAGGGUUUGAAUUGUGAAGGUUAGAAUUAGAGUCCUGUGAGGGCUAAAGUUGUGAGGGCUAGGGCUAUAGUUGUGAGGUUUAGGGCUAAAGUUGUGAGGGUUAGGGCUACAGUUGUGAGGGUUAUGGCUAAAGUUGUGAGA